CCUACGGGCGGCAGCAGUGAGGAAUAUUGGUCAAUGGACGAGAGUCUGAACCAGCCAAGUAGCGUGAAGGAUGACUGCCCUAUGGGUUGUAAACUGCUUUUAUAUGGGAAUAAAAUGUUCCACGUGUGGGAUUUUGUAUGUACCAUAUGAAUAAGGACCGGCUAAUUCCGUGCCAGCAGCCGCGGUAAUACGGAGGAUCCGGGCGUUAUCCGGAUUUAUUGGGUUUAAAGGGAGCGUAGGGGGAUUGUUAAGCAAGUUGUGAAAGUUUGGGGCUCAACCGUAACAUUGCAGGUGAAACUGGCAGGCUUGAGUACAGUAGAGGUGGGCGGAAGUCGUGGUGUAGCGGUGAAAUGCUUAGAUAUCACGAAGAACUCCGAUUGCGAAGGCAGCUCACUGGACUGCAACUGACACUGAGGCUCGAAAGUGUGGGUAUCAAACAGGAUUAGAUACCCUUGUAGUC
Molecule: ribosomal RNA, 460 nt
Filed under: uncultured bacterium
Lineage: Bacteria
Description: partial 16S ribosomal RNA
Rfam family: Bacterial small subunit ribosomal RNA
Source: RNAcentral